CUUGGAAUGAGUAGCGAGAGCAAGGUGGGAAUCCUUGCGGCCGAAUAUCCAAGGUUUCCAGAGUAAAGCUGAUCUGCUCUGGGUAAGUCGGGGCCUAAGGAGAGGCAGAGAUGCGUAUCCGAUGGACAGCAGGUUUUAAGAUUCCUGCACCCCUUGUUAUCAGAACUGCGGGGACACGGGAAGGGAAGCAGAGCCGGGAAUGGAAAGCCCGGUGCAAGCGAAGUAGUCGCAGGGUUGGAAAAUCCGCCCUGCAUAAGACGAAGGCGUGAUGCGGAGCGAAAUGAAGUAGAGAAGCUGCGGCCCCUUCCUGUCGAGAAAAGCCGCUAUCGUGUAGCAAGGGCCCGUACCGUAAACCGACACAGGUGGAUGAGGAGAGGAUCCUAAGGCCGGCGGGAGAAGUGUUGUUAAGGAACUCGGCAAAAUGACUCCGUAACUUCGGGAGAAGGAGUGCUGCGCAAGCAGCCGCAGAGAAAUGGCCCAAGCAACUGUUUAGCAAAAACACAGGUCUAUGCGAAACCGGAAGGUGAGGUAUAUGGGCUGACGCCUGCCCGGUGCUGGAAGGUUAAGGGGAGAGCUUAGCAUAAGCGAAGGUUUGAACUUAAGCCCCAGUAAACGGCGGCCGUAACCAUAACGGUCCUAAGGUAGCGAAAUUCCUUGUCGGGUAAGUUCCGACCCGCACGAAAGGCGUAAUGAUUUGGGCACUGUCUCAACAACACACCCGGUGAAAUUGAAAUACCAGUGAAGAUGCAGGUUACCCGCGCCAGGACGGAAAGACCCCAUGGAGCUUUACUCCAGCCUGAUACUGGGAUUCGGUAUUGCAUGUACAGGAUAGGUGGGAGGCUAAGAACUUAUGGCGCCAGCCGUAAGGGAGCCGAUGUUGGGAUACCACCCCUGCAGUACUGGGUUUCUAACCUGCGCCCGUGACCCGGGCGGGGGACAAUGUCAGGCGGGGAGUUUGACUGGGGCGGUCGCCUCCGAAAGGGUAUCGGAGGCGCUCAAAGGUCUCCUCAGGAUGGUUGGAAACCAUCCAGAGAGUGCAAAGGCAGAAGGAGGCUUGACUGCGACACCGACGGGUGGAGCAGGUACGAAAGUAGGACUUAGUGAUCCGGUGGCAUAAAGUGGGAUUGCCAUCGCUCAACGGAUAAAAGCUACCCUGGGAUAACAGGCUUAUCACUCCCAAGAGUUCACAUCGACGGAGUGGUUUGGCACCUCGAUGUCGGCUCAUCGCAUCCUGGAGCUGGAGCAGGUUCCAAGGGUUGGGCUGUUCGCCCAUUAAAGCGGUACGCGAGCUGGGUUCAGAACGUCGUGAGACAGUUCGGUUCCUAUCCGGCGCGGGCGCAGGAUAUCUGAGAGGAGCUGUCCUUAGUACGAGAGGACCGGGAUGGACCGUCCGCUGGUGGACCGGUUGUCAUGCCAAUGGCACGGCCGGGUAGCCAAGACGGGAAGGGAUAAACGCUGAAGGCAUCUAAGCGUGAAGCCCCCCUCAAGAUGAGAUAUCCAUACUCGAAAGAGUGAGAGACCCCUUAGAGACGAUGAGGUAGAUAGGGCAGAGAUGGAAGCACAGCGAUGUGUGGAGUUGACUGUUACUAAUCGGUCGAAAGCCC
RNAcentral lists this ribosomal RNA (1604 nucleotides) under metagenome. RNAcentral's name for it is "bacterial LSU rRNA". It matches the Rfam family "Bacterial large subunit ribosomal RNA", at positions 1296 to 2925 of the family's 2925-position model. The record is from RNAcentral.